RNAcentral lists this ribosomal RNA (423 nucleotides) under uncultured bacterium. RNAcentral's name for it is "partial 16S ribosomal RNA". It matches the Rfam family "Bacterial small subunit ribosomal RNA", at positions 358 to 795 of the family's 1533-position model. The record is from RNAcentral.
GGAAUUUUCCGCAAUGGGGGAAACCCUGACCGAGCAAUGCCGCGUGAAUGAAGAAGGCCUUCGGAUCGUAAAAUUCUGUUSUUAGGGAAGAAUAAUGCGACGGUACCUAACUAGAAAGCUCCGGCUAAYUACGUGCCAGCAGCCGCGGUAAUACGURGGGAGCGAGCGUUAUCCGGAAUUAUUGGGCGUAAAGCGUGUGYAGGCGGUUUAUYAAGUCUGAUGUGAAAGCCCCCGGCUCAACCGGGGAGGGUCAUUGGAAACUGGUAAACUUGAGUACGGUAGAGGCAAGUGGAAUUCCAUGUGUAGCGGUAAAAUGCGUAGAUAUAKGGAGGAACACCAGUGGCGAAGGCGGYUUGCUGGGCCRGAACUGACGCUSAGRCACGAAAGCSWGGGGAGCRAACRGGAUUAGAUACCCCUGUAGUC